Molecule: long non-coding RNA, 12061 nt
Organism: Dunckerocampus dactyliophorus (ringed pipefish)
Lineage: Eukaryota; Metazoa; Chordata; Actinopteri; Syngnathiformes; Syngnathidae
Exons: 10
Source: RefSeq, a predicted model, not a curated record
UUACUUGGGUACUAUAGUUAAGAUAUUCACGCACACACAUCCUGACUUGGGUUUAACCUUUGGCCAGAGCAGGCGUGCUAGGUUAGUGGUUAUAGGUUACAAGUUUUGUUGUUCUCAUGAGUUUGCAGGAGUUCAGAGGAAGGGCAACGCUGAUAACAGGAUGUCCCUGGCAAAUCCCCCACCGGUUGAGUGCACACAGAUGACAGUUCCUCUUCAAUGGACAAGGUCUUAUCAUCAUCUGGCGGACUUUAUAGGACUUCAGAGAAUCACCACCCCCACCUCACUCUUUGCGGACACUAUAAGACGCUUGGCCAAAGAGAGAAGGAUGUUUUUUUGGAGUUCUGCUGUGAUGAGACCUGCGUAUUCCUGUAGGCAGCAGUUGUAACUACGAGGCCCAGAUAUCUGUAUUAGUUUUGUUUGGUAGGAAUACAAGUUUUGGAAUUGAACUGCCUUUUGUCUCCAUCAUCCCUCGAUAGAAUUCCACGCUUCAGUUUUGGCGCCCAACGUGGGAGAGGUGGAGUUCGGUAGGUGGCUUAUUGGAUGUUGUUUUUUUCUGGUUAUCCCAUUGCUGUUCAUCUCCUGAGUGCACUCUCUGUAACAAAGGUCUCUGUGGCUACAACAGGAAUUACACCCCCGGCUUCAUUGAACGCACCGCGCCCCUCAGAGCUCUCACUCGUCAACAAGACGGCUGCUGCUUCAGACACUCGGAUGGGAACCUACGCGCAGCUGCCGCUGUUGUCCGACAUGACUCAUCUUCUGACACUUUUCCGCUGGUGACUUCUGACAUUUACAUGACUAACCCUUCGGCCCAGGGUGCGGAAGUGCUGGCUUUAUGCUUGGCCCUGGAGGCUGGCGCUGGACAAGACAUGACUACUGUGACUCUGCCUAUGCUGUGGGCGCUGCUGUCCUCAACCUUCCUGAGUGGCAGCGGACAGGUUUCGUGACGGCUAAAGGACAUAGCAAGGCGAACACCCUUCAAUCUAGGGGCAAAGAUGCAGCAGACCAGGCUGCGAAGGCGGCGGCCGGGUACCGCCCCGCCGAUUUGAUGAUGAUUUGUUCUCAGCUGCCUGAUCACCAACUGGACAACCCAUUGUCUUUGGACGUUAUUGCGUCCCAUCAUCGUUCUGCUUCUCCGGAAGAGGUUCAUGACUCCGCUGUGCCUGUCUCUGCGACUCCUCCCUCACCUUUGGUAGCAGAUAAGGUCUUCCUGAAGAGGCUCUCCAGGAAGUGGUCGGAAUCUAGGUGGACUGGUCCUUUUGUGGUGACUGCUCGUACCGAUUGGGCUGUGCAACUGGAGGGCAAAGGACUCAAGUGGUUUCACUUUUCUUUGCUUAGGCCAGACACAUCUGUUUGAGUUGUUAUGUCUUCUUAUUGUGGACUGGGUGUUUCCCAGUCCAGGAGGGGGAGGGGGUUGAUUCAUUUGGCAUAUUGUAUUAUAUGAUCGCUGUUUUCAUUGUAGCUGCAAGUUCUUUUUUCUGUUUCUUGCUGGUUUCUUAUAUUAUCACUGCUUUUGUUCCACACACCAUCACACCCCUGGACAUGCAGGUUGGUACCUACCGAAUUGGUAACACCACUGAUUCAUAUUCCUUGGUGGUCCGACGCCGCCGGUCUAUAAUAUCUUCUUGUUCAGAUGUCAGUCACGGAGUUCAUCAGCAAACUUCGUGACAAGUACUCACCCUUUGUUCCGCCUGGCCAGUAUGUACAAAUUUUGUCAUAGACCUAUUAACAUUACAUCAAGAAUAUCAGGAGUGUACAUCCUCUAGCCGACGGGCCUGGGGAUGUUCUCCGGCCAGGUGGGUAUAUCAGGUCAAGGGAUGGUACAUUAUGUACGGCUACUCUAGCGGGGCGUUUAAUCAGGGGUGGGACAGACUGGCAGGGGAGUCGGUUGUACGUAGCUGGGCAUCAUAUACUGGAAAAAAGGUACGGCCGAUUAGAGCUAAUUUCUCUAUGAAAGCAAUGUCUAGAACCGCAUUUAAUAUGUAAUUUAAUUCAUCAACCCCUGGAUGCUAUAAUUUCACUUUGUAUGCUUAUCGAGGGAAAGGCUUCUUGAGAUGUCAUCUGUAGUUCUGUGAAGAAAGUGUCGGACGUUUCGCUCCUCAUCCGAAGAGCUUCGUCAGCGAACUAACAAGUGCUGGUAGCCUAGGCCUUAAAUACAGUAAGAGUGGGCGGAAUUGGUGUGCCAACACCCUCCUCCUAUGGUUCCUUACAUUAAGACUGGGCGGAGUUGUGGUCUAAUCCUGCCAUUAGCACCUCCGAACAAAGGGAGUGUAGCUCCCUGUAGUUGGGUAUGAACGACUCUGAUACUGGCUAGUUAGCAUCUAUUGUCCUGGCUUGGCCCUGGCUCUACCUCAUUUGCAUGACUAAGAGCUGUGGGUUUUGGUCUCAGUAACCUGCUGAACACAGGGUCCAAAUUAAACCUCAAACCACCAUUCCGAUUCAAUGAUGGGUUCUGUUGUUUGACAAAAAUAGCUUCCUUUACUCCUCUUUCAAACCAUCUGUUUUCUUUGGCCAAAAUCUUUACCUCGCUGUCCUUGCUGUCCUCCUUUUGGCCAAAAUCUUUACCUCGCUGUCCUCCCAUUGGCCAAAAUCUUUACCUCGCUGUCCUCGCUGUCCUCCUUUUGGCUGAACUCCUGUACGACUGAGAGCCUACACAGACGCUUUGUAUGCUUAUGCGUCUGGAAAGGACCGGUGUUGACCAUUUCGUAUAUGUACUGUUGCGUUCGCAGUUACUCCUCUACAGACACAAACUGCUCAAGCUGCGAAGGUUCGGGCAAUAAGUGACAGCCAGGAUGUACAUGAUGUGUUUACUCUCAUCACUGGAGUUACAGGUCAUACCAACAAUUGGCUUCUCAUGGUUGAGCAGGCGGCCAAUAAUGCUUCUACUGAUUGCGUGGUCUGUAUGGGUCCCAGGCCCUUGUUAAAAGUCGUUCCCGCAGUAUUGGAUGAUUCCUGCUUUAUGUCGGUUAUGAAUUCUACCUAUAUUAAACAAUUUAAGUGUUGUACAUGGGACGAAGUAUAUCCUGUGGUCCCACCGACAAAGGUAAAGCCUAUAUUUGACACAACAGUCUCAGCAAAUAAUUUCACUUGUGUUAACAGCUCUACGGGGAAAAACAUUUGUUAGGAAGGGUGAAUGACUCUUUAUGUGUUUCGGUUUAUGGGGUGUCUUCAACCUUUUCUCCCGUCUCUCGAGCCGAUGUGUGGUGAUGGUGCGGAGGAGCAGUACUAUUCGACCGCCUUCCUGCUAAAAGCAUGACCUGUUUGUGUGCAUUGGUUUCUCUCAUUCUACCGGUAAGUGUGAUUCCGGCUUCUGUAGAUCAUUUGAUGGAUGCGGUCGACUCGGUGGCCCUCCUGCCAUCAGCACACACUCGAAGACGUCGUGACACCUCCACCCCUUGGCUCAGCGCGACUGAUCCCACUUAUGUCGACGCUCUUGGGGUUCCUCGGGGUUUCCCGGAUGAAUAUAAACUCGUUAAUCAAGUGGCUGCUGGAUUUGAGUCUAUUCUUCCGUGGAUCACGGUUAACAAAAAUGUGGACCGUAUUAAUUAUAUUCAUUACAAUAUUCAGCAUUUAGGUAACCAUACACAGGCCGGGUUUCAGGCAGUCCAUGAACAGCUGAGAGCGACCUCCCUGAUGACCUUCCAGAAUCGCAUAGCUUUGGAUAUGUUAUUGGCUGAGAAGGGUGAGGUCUGUGCUACGUUUGGUGAUUCAUGUUGUACUUUCAUUCCUAAUAACACAGCGGCUGAUGGUAAACUUACCCAAGCACUAGAUGACCUGCGCACCUUAAACCGUAAAAUGAAAGAUCAUUCGGGUGUGAAUACUUCCAUCUGGGACAUGUGGAUGGCUUAUUUUGGGCCAUACAAGAAUCUCAUUUCUUCUUUCUUUAUUUCUAUUGCUGUGUUUGCAACUUUGCUGAUGUUGUGUGGCUGUCUUUGCAUCCCAUGUAUUAGGGGUUUACUGGAAAAGCUUGUUAUGCGGGUUUUGGGAGAUCCAAAGGGACAAUAUCUUCUGGUCCCGGUAAGGGAGGAACCUUCGACAGUGGAGAUGGCCCUGUUAGAGUGAAAUAAAAUCUUUGCUUUGGUUGUGUAAGUUUAUUGAUGCUAUUUACUUUGCUUUGUUGUUGUGGCCUCUUUCGAGGCCAAGAGGGGGAAUGAAGAAGUAGAUUAUUUUCAUUAGGCCUAGUUAGCAUAUAUCUACAGUAUUUACUUACAUUAUUAUACAUCAUAAUUAACAUAUAUCUAUAUGACUUAGUUGAUUUAUAUUGGCAUGCAUCAUAGUUUAUAUUUACAUGUUAACAUCACUUAACAGUUACUUGGGUACUAUAGUUAAGAUAUUCACACACACACAUCCUGACUUGGGUUUAACCUUGGGCCAGAGCAGGCGUGCUAGGUCAGUGGUUAUAGGUUACAAGUUUUGUUGUUCUCAUGAGUUUGCAGGAGUUCAGAGGAAGGGCAACGUUGAUAACAGGAUGUCCCUGGCAAAUCCCCCACCGGUUGAGUGCACACAGAUGACAGUUCCUCUUCAAUGGACAAGGUCUUAUCAGCAUCUGGCGGACUUUAGAGGACUUCAGAGAAUCACCACCCCCACCUCACUCUUCACGGACACUAUAAGACGCUUGGCCAAAGAGAGAAGGAUGCUUUUUUGGAGUUCUGCUGUGAUGAGACCUGCGUAUUCCUGUAGGCAGCAGUUGUAACUACGAGGCCCAGAUAUCUGUAUUAGUUUUGUUUGGUAGGAAUAAAACUUUUGGAAUUGAAUUGCCUUUUGUCUCCAUCAUCCCUCGAUAGAAUUCCACGCUUCACCGGGCACUAUUUAGUAAUAUGAAAGACACAUGGACCAGGGUUUGACAUGAUCGACAUCGACAAGUGGUCAACAUUAAGCGGGUUCCACCGUAUUCAAUGCCCUUUGGGUAGUCGACUUACGGCAACAUUGCGGAUCUGCUUGCUCCCCAAAUUCCACAGCUGGUGGAUGAGCGCUCUGAACAGCUCUGUCUUCUCCUCUGGAAACUGGGAGCACAACUUCUUCAAAAUAACCCUGGUGUCAGAGAGGGUAUUACCCGCUCCCACCCAAACACCUACAGGGAACUGGGAAAUAGUGACAUGGACCAACAGUUGAACAUGAAAGCGCAGCCUGAUGGAUUUUACCCACCGUUUGGUGUCUCGGUCACCUCGAACAGCUCCAGCACUCGGAUGGAAGAUAUCACCAAUGGAUGCACAACGCCCUUGAACUUAAUGUCCGGACCUUCGACACACAGCACAAGGAUCAGCACAAUGGAUUCUUUGAAUUACUCUUGAGAUGACAUUAUAUUCAUUUAGACCUAUGUUAGUGUUCCCCAUGAUCAGCGGAGCCUUCGGGUUGCUGGUCUUUAGCUGGACCAGCUCCUCCAGCAGGACAGGGGACACCCAGGUCAUCCUCUCCCCAUGGAAGGUGAGCAUCUGUGGCCUGUUGGUCUCUGCCAUCAGCUGGGGGUGACAAUAGAGAAGGUUAAAUUCUCUGAGGAGGCAAAGUGACCAGCCCGGCACUCAAAUGGAAGACUUUGUGUGUUUACGAUCAGUUCAGGAGGGAAGAUCAGCUCUUGUGUCGGGUCAAGUGGCAGGAAGUCCAACUUGUUAAACAGCAAUGGUGUUUCCUGGGAAGCAUGGACAUUGAAGGCAUUCAUACACAAAUAUAAACUAGAAGUGUGUGGUCACUCGGUGUGGGCGGAUCAAUCCAAAUAUUGAUGGUAUUGAUAUUAAGGGUGGAAUCGAUAUUGGAUUGAUAUUAGUAUGAUGAGAUCGAUAUUUUUCAGUUUUUCAGGAACAGUACUAGAAAGGGAGAGUCUGUUAUGUUUCGCUAGUUGUAGUACCUAUGUUAAGUUGAGUUUUAUUCAGUUCUCCGCCUAUUCAAGAAGGUGCUUUGACAAACUGUGAUGUGCCACUGCAUCACCAGCUCAACUUACAUCAGUUUUUUCUUUCUUGCCGCCACAGUCUUUUCCUCCAGAUAUCUGACAGCAGUUGACCUCCUGCUUGGGUGAAACAUUCUAUCCGUUUCAGUACAUAAUUAUAAGAAGCUAAAAACGGCUAAUGAAUUCGCUGAACCUGACAGAAGGUCCUGCAGCCGUCAACAAUGGGCCGAUAUCCUGUACAGCGACACAGAUUCCCUGAAUUGAGAGAGCAAAAGUCAACUGAAGCGCGUGAAAUAUCAUUUCUCCAGUUCAUGCAGGAAAUGACAGCCACGGGGUACCAGCGAGCGCCUCAGUGAUGUCGUCCAGGCUGGGGUGAGGAUUGUUCCGCAGGAGAGCGUACAUCGACAUCACCAUGCCUGGCGUGCAAAAGCCGCACUGGGAGCCAUGCGCCUUUGCUAUUCGCUCCUGGAAAGGCACCAUGCACAGCUAAUGACAAAACUGAGAUCUUCCUCAACUACGGUUACAAGACAGCAUGUAAAAACCACUGAAUAUCUCAUUCAUCCUCAAAAAAUAGAACAGGUCAAAACUGAUUUGACAUUCUUCUCAUGAUGAGUGUUUGUAAACAUCUGACCAGAACUGUACGCUUGCUUUGUUAUGUAUUUAAGUUUGAGGUUGAAUGGAACUUUGGAUCAACUGGGUAUUGUUUUUGGUUAACUCGAAGAAUGAGAUUUGUCUCAAAAACUGUGUACAUGGAGUAAUUAACCAUUUUUAAGGCCAUUUUUAGUCACCUGGUCCAGGAUUACUAUUGCAACAACAAAUCAUCAGUAGAGUAAAACUAACCUUUCUAUGACGGUUAGCAUACAUUCUGCAUGCUAACAGCAAGUCCAUUCAGAACACCACCCAACAGUUAUAUGUAAGUGAUGGCAUGGGAAUAGGUAAGCAGGAGUCUGAGAAGCACACAGUGGAUCCAGGCCUCACCUGGACAGGGUGGAUACUGGUCUUGGUACUCCCAAUACCCUCCACGGUGGUGAUGGCGGCUCCGUGAAGCUGGCAAAGUGGCAGCAGACAGGCGUUGGCCGAGUAAUGACUGAUAUGGUGGUGAAGGCAUGACACUGUAGUCAGAUCAUUUCUAUCGCGGCUAAAGCCUCCAUUAGUGGUGUCCAAGUUUUUGUUUUUUUUAUCAAUGUUUAAAAAAUAAUUUGCCUGAAUUUGUAUAUUCCAAAAUAAUUUAAAUGAAAUGUAAAAUUUAACGAGGGAGGAAGCGGACACUGAGUCCGAGUGGGCCAUGUAAAGUGCCUGUCGUGGCGGUAAUCCCAGAACCCAUUGGUGGACAUCAGCCUUGAGGGAUGUUGUCAAGCUGAAGAAGGGGUCCUACCAGGCCUUUUUGGCCCAUAGGACUCUAGAGGUGGCUGACAGGUGCUGGCAGGCCAAUCCGCGUGCAGCUUUGCCCAGCCGCCUAGCUAAGACUGGCUGAAACCAAAUCAGGAAGUUUCCUGAUAAUUGUGACCACCUUCGCAGAAGGCUUAUGAGGAGGAAAAGGAACUCAGUUUUACUUCAGAGACCGCUUGAACCCCAGACCUUGUCUAGGUGGCUGACCGUUCUCUCCAUCGCUGGCAUUGCAAUUUCUUGUAUUCACUCCAAAUAGACUCAAUUGUCAAUUGUUAAACUGACUUUUUGACUCAGAUAGUUAUUUCACAGUUGGAAGAAUUAAAGAACCCGGGGGGUUCCCGCCCUGUUAAAAGGGCCGGACAUAACAGUGCGAUCGUUGGACACCAGGUUUCACAAGCUGUCACGUGAGAAAUUCAAAAGAUCUUGAAGUUCUCGUAUUCGACCGAGAUUUAAGAGCAUGAAGAUAAAAAUGAAAGCAGGGAUUACUUAAAAACACACGGACCUCAUGAAAUGGCACCCAACCCAAGUCUGAAAGGUCGGAGGAGUUGGGUAGGACCCGUUUAACAGCUUUGCAUAGCUUGACAUACGGGUACACUAGAUUGGUUUGAGCGUGUUUUAUACACAAAAAUUAGAGGAAUAUCAAAGUGGCUGCCGCAUCCUUUCAUUUCUCUGUAUGCAGCCCUCAGGGGAAAAACUUUGGACACCCCUGAUGUACACGCUUACAGUUGGACAAUAAAUAAUUUACAGCCAUUAUUCCUUGCGCGUUAUCUUUUUUUCUGCCAAACUUGUUUUUCCUGUCUUGCUCACUAAAACAAGAUUUCAUUCCACUUUCACUUGGUUUAUGCAGUACUUUAAAAGUUGUGACUUAAUAAUACAUAAUACAUAUUUCUUCAGGCCAUUCUGAAUAUUCUGUGUAAAUGUUAUUUGGUUCAUGAAACACUAAACAAAUACGGCAGCAAAUCAAAUAUUUGCUUGCUUGAAAGAGUUUCCAUCUCCUCUUUUUCUCAUCUUGAAGGAUACACAAUGGUCUUGUUGGAAGGUCGAUAGCGUGACACCAUCACCGUACACGCACCGCAGCCUCCUCCGCCGCAGCCAUACUUGGUUCCGGUUAACCGCACUGUCGUCACGGUCAAUAGGAAGACAACCAUCAAAAAAAAAGAAAGACACUCACAUGACAUUUGGGAGAACACAGGCAAACAGUUGGACCAGAUAGACUUGUCUGAGGGCGUCAACUGAAAGGAUACACUUCUGUCUCAGGAAGUACAACAGUGUUGUCUCAGGGUCCGCACGCUCCUCGGUUACCUGUUGAUAAAGUAACUUUCACUCCAGAUCCAACUCAAUAGAAUGCUAAAUAAAAGGGACCUACCGCUUUUAAUACCAUGAGCAUUAUCUAUUUAUUCAAAGCCGGCUAACCCAUUAGCGUACGCCCCGGUUAGCGCUUUUUCUGGUAAACGUCAACAUGACCUGAAUUCAGUUGUGUUCUUCACGUAUUUUUAUCACAAAAGAUCCUUGUUAGCAUCCUAUUAGCUUGACCGCCAUCAGGAAUCCGUUCCAAAAGUUCCAACUCUAACCGAAAUGUACGCUAAUCAAAACAAUUUUUCCCAUUAAAAAAAAAAGUAAAUCCAAUAAAUUCGCUCCACAAAGCCCAAAAAGUUACCGCAAAUUAAUAUUAUAUUAUAAUUACAGUUUUACAUGCAAAAAAACAAUCCAAAUGCAUAUAAAUUGUAUUUAUAAUAUUUCCUACGGGACGUAAGCACGGAAAUGUUAUCUUAUACAUUAUAAAACAAUGCCAUUUGGUUUCUUUGGAGUGGGGUGUCACAUGAAAUCUCGCCUGGGGUGCCACAUUUGGUAGGGGCGGCUCUGUAUUUAUUAAAGAAACAAUGAAACAAUGUGGGAAUUGAUCGGUCUUAUUUAGCUCAAAUAAUGUAUCUAUUUUCAUCUAUCUGAAACACUGUAAACCCGAAUGCUCAACUUAAUUAAAAAAAAUGAUUGGUGUAUGAUUAAAAAAUGUUAAACUUGCUACUUAAUUAAAUGUUUAGAUUUUUUAAUGCAUAUGUCCAAUUUUUUGGACUUAAAAUUAUUCAUUUUAAUUAUUAAUUACAUACAAUUUUAAUUAAGCAGAACUUAUAGUUUAUAUUUUUCUUUAGUAUUAUUUUUAAUUUACAAUUACUUUAUAUUUUCAAAAAUCCAUCUGGACAACAAUCAGAAUUAACAAUUGCAUACAACAAUUUUUCCACUAUUUUAUUAAGAUGACACGAUUAAUUGGCAAUAUCAGUACACUUUAAAGAUGGGGGGUUAUUAUUAUAAUGAUCUGUACAUAUUUAUGCACUUUAAAAGUCAUGUCUUAAAACGUAAUAUGAUUCCUUUUCAUGAAUUUCAUUUUACAAGUGCAAAGGAAGGUAUGUAGGUUUUUUCUUUGAAUGUACCAGGAUAAUCCCUUGCCCCUGCCUGUUUUUUUUUGUUUUUGUUUUUUUUUGUGCCCCUGCCUGUUCUCCCUGUAAUAUGCCCAAAGAUGACAUCAUAUGAUGCGCAUGAAGCCUCGAGAAAUGAACCUUUUCGUGAACCAGAUGGAUGGAAAGAUUCUAGGUCACACCCUUGUCCUCGCUACUCAGUCUGUUCCGGACAUCUCGCCCUUCACCUUUCUGGGUUCAAAUCUCCACGCAUGCGCAUUGUGUGCUCUUGCACUUCCUCGGCUUCACCACCGCCGCGACCAAGGCGAACCGGCAUCCAAAGAUUGAAUCGGGUGUUUGUGGGCAAACCAGACUUAAGACUUUGGAGUAAAUGUAUAUGCUGAACUUCAGCAGAUAACCAAUAAACAUCUGCCAAAUUCCUUCUAUGCCGAGCUCAACAUGCACACCUCCCGUAUGAUGACGCCGUUCAGACAAAAGUCCUCCCAAACCACCAAGACAGCUGGUGUCUUGGCCACCAUUUUCAAAGUUCCUGAUGAACAGACCCUGUCUAGAGCAGCUGCACCCUGGCCUGCCGUUAAGAAGCUUCGGCUGGAAGAUUCAGCUUUGAUCUCAGGAUUCAGCAGAGGUCAAACUGCGGGGCUCAGACGCAUAAGGAUGGUGCGGGUUACUCGUGCUUUUGGCCAAGAGGCUGCUGAGCUGUGAUCCACGGCCGCCAUCAGCACAGCUCAGGGCUGCUACACCCCCACAAAGAUCCAACAUGAUGUCUACACCCGACACAACUGUGUUCCAUGCCCUACCCGCUAACCUGCGUGGACAAACAUCAGGGUUUUUCAUCAGCUGCCAUGAGGAUGCGGCGGGGCCUGAUCUGUCGACUACGCCUGUGAGUUGCGGAGGUCGUCCAGUGAACUACGGAAACAAGGUCUACGUGGUCUUGGAGGGUCAAGAGAUCGUAACAUUGUGAAACUUUGGAGAAGCCUUCCUGGUCAUGUUUGGACAAAGAAAAAAUUGUUUGCAAAAAAUAAUUGUUUGUGGAAAAAGAACUGUUUAAAAAAAAAAAAGUAAAUUGUUGCAAACUUUAUUGAAAUAAAACUGAAGUUUAGUCUUUUCUACUCAAGGGUACAUUACAAUCCUCUGGUGGGAUGCACUUAAAGUGCUUAGGAAAACAUUUGAAGAAUAAAAUCAUUCAUUAAAAUUUUGAUGUUAACGGUUGCCUAACCUUUUAAGUUUAUAUUCUUUCAUUUUUUUUAUUACUGUUAAAUGUGAAAAGUAUGCCAAUAGUACAUGAAAUCUUUAAUAAAAUAAUACAUUUAAUUUGGACAAAUUCAUUUUUUUAAUCUUUCUGAAAUUAUAUUUUUCAGUUAAUUCACACCGAAGUCAAUUAAAAAAACAAUGUAGCACUUAAUACAGAAAUAAAAAAAUUUAAGUUGUUAAACUGAAAAAAAGUUAGGCAGCCGUAUACAUCAAAAUUUGUAAUUACUGCUAACUAAUUUGGGUUUACAGUGUGCACAACAAUUUAAAUGCUCUUCCACUGGGUAGCACAAGGUACAUACUUGUACAUACUUGUUAACUACUGAACACGAUCUACACUGUACAUGUUUUUGACUUUUUGAGAUGUUUAUCAUGUAAAAUAAGCCUCAAUUAAGUAAACAAUGUACACAAUAACACAAACUUACCAGCACAAAUUCUGCCUUUACAAAGAUUAGGACGUUAACUGUCAAUAGAUAUAUUCCUCUAACAAUAUGUUUUAUUAUUAUUGCACUGUUGUACAACUGCUGGAUGUCGUUUGAUUGGCAGCUGGUUUCUCACGAAAGCGAGCAUAAAUGACGUCAAAGCAACAUACACACGAGAAAAGCAAGUUUACCUUUUUCCCGUUGACAAAAAAGCACAAAGUGUCUCUUUCUGCGGAUGCCGACAUCGUCACUGCAACACUUUUCACUCUGCGAGCUUCGAAACGCGGCGUUUACUGCUGCGGACUCUUUCAAAAUAAACCACGGAAGUCGAGUGAGGACACGUUUUAACCCCACUUGAAAUACUGUGACGUUGUGCAAGGCGAAUGGAAUAACUCACAUCAGCGGAGCAGACAAAUCCAACACACCUGGACGUUAAUAAUUACGGUAAUGGUGUAAAAAUGUGUUUGUCCCCUUCCUGCUUUCUUAUGUUUUUGCAUGUUUGUCACACUUAAAUGUUUCAGAACAUCAAACAUUUUAAUACACGACUGAACUGAACACAAAAUGCAGUUUUUAAAUGAAACUUUUUUAUUAUUAAAAGAAAAAAAUCCAAACCUACAUGGCCUUGUGUGACAAAGUGAAACUUUCUUCUUGUACAGUAAAUUCCCUUCUUGUAAUAUUGUGAUUUCAUGCCUAUAAUAAUUUGACUUUAUUCU